RNAcentral lists this long non-coding RNA (733 nucleotides) under Eucalyptus grandis. RNAcentral's name for it is "long non-coding RNA (EGRA_LNC006139)". Lineage: Eukaryota; Viridiplantae; Streptophyta; Magnoliopsida; Myrtales; Myrtaceae. The record is from RNAcentral.
UUCUCACCAUUUGCGAGUUAUUGUUGUUGGAGUGAAUUCAUACAUUGUACUGGGCUGACCUAGAGACUCGAUCAUCACACGAAGGUUCGACUUUAAAUGUACUUGUUUAGGAUGGAAGAAGCAACAAUACCACGAUUCCUCCUCUUCUAGCCAUCUCCAGCAUCGGCUAUCGUUACCCCAAACAACCCUUAAGCCCUUACUGAGAACCGUUAAGCAGCUCUUGUUUAGGUCCUUGUCAACCCCAUACUUGUGUGUAUAUGGCUGUUCCUGUAAGCACAGAGCAGUGAUCAGUAAUUGAGACAUUAACAAAACCGGAACAAAACUCAGGCUUUCGUCCAAUCAGGCGCUACUGAGCUCCCAUCCGGUCCGUGAUGACCUAUUCAUAGAUGCACUUGUCAUCUGCAAGCGGUCUUGAUUUGCAGACUUUUCCUGCAUAUCAUGCAGUUUUAGUUUCAUUGCAGGCAUCACUGGCCGAGCCAAAUUUUUUCUUGAUAGAUCACUAUCUAUUGGCACAAAACAAGUUCUUUUUUGUCCUUCGUAACUUGCCUGAUCCUCGCCUUUUUCUGCCUUGCCCUGCUUCUUGUCGUCCUUCAAAAGCACUCCUGCACAGACUCGACGUCUCAGCUCGUGUCUGUCAAGGGAGGCGAUUUUGUCGCUGCUCGCACUUCUCCUCCUUGUUCUGCUCGCGCUGAUUGGGGGGCAUUUUCUUCAUUUGUUGAUGAUGGCGAAUCAG